Molecule: microRNA, 22 nt
Filed under: Oreochromis niloticus (Nile tilapia)
Lineage: Eukaryota; Metazoa; Chordata; Actinopteri; Cichliformes; Cichlidae
Description: oni-miR-10584
Source: miRBase by way of RNAcentral
AAAGUGUUAUCCCCAUCCACUU